Molecule: long non-coding RNA, 750 nt
Organism: Panthera uncia (snow leopard)
Lineage: Eukaryota; Metazoa; Chordata; Mammalia; Carnivora; Felidae
Exons: 3
Source: RefSeq, a predicted model, not a curated record
UCUGUCUCCCCUCUCUGCCCCUCCCUUGCUCACACUCUAUCUCUUUCUCAAAAAUAAAAUAAAAACAUAAGAUGAGGCCUUUAGGGUGACUAUAUGGGAUCACUAUAGGGUGAAUAGUGUCCUCAUACAAGGUUUUUAGGGAGCACAUGCCAGCCACCGUGGGCACACAGGAAAUGACAGCUGUAAAUCUCAGGGGUAAUGACAGGGAUAAAUCUCAGCAAACCACCAUUCAACAGCAGCCAAUGGCUGCAGAGAAUCAAGAAUUAACCCACAGGCUGCAUGUUCCAGUUCAAUCCCUGGAAGAAAUGACCACCAGUAGCCAAUCACAAGAUACAUACCUCUCCACACCUGGACAGGAAUAACCCACACUUCUGCAAGCAACACCUUUGGUCAGACAUGCAGCUGCAAGGCCUCCAUUCCUUCUACCUGAAUCCAGGAUGCUCUUCCCCCAUCACUGCCAGCGUCAAGCUAGCCCUUUAGAUCCAACUACAUCGUGAUUUAUACUGUUUUGGGGACACAGCAAUUAUUUGCCUGAUGUCUACAUCUCCUACCCACUGAAAACUCCAUGAAGGAAGGUAAAAAGCUGAGUUUGUUCACCAAUGAAUCCCCUGCACCUAACACAGACUGUACAGAGGCCCUUGUGAGGAGUUUGAGUUUUAUUUUAAGUUUAAUAGAAAACCUUUGAAAAAUCUUACACAGUAGGUGAUGAGGUCACAUUUAUUGUCAGUGACUUAUUGAACAACCAAAACC